RNAcentral lists this small RNA (3497 nucleotides) under Rattus norvegicus (Norway rat). RNAcentral describes it as "uncharacterized LOC102550217". The record is from RNAcentral. Lineage: Eukaryota; Metazoa; Chordata; Mammalia; Rodentia; Muridae.
CAUAACGUAAUCUUUUACAUAAGUAAAUUGGUCUUGCUUUCCUCUCGUUGAUCAGGCUUCCUUUAUAGAGAUGGCAGCCUGGGCCUCUGAGAUCGAGGAAAAGAAAUCCCUUUUCUUUCAACAGGUGCCCAAAACUUUUUUUUUUUCUUGAAUGAUUAACACACCUGAGGAGGUAGCCAGGAGGUGCAGGGUCUCAGAAGUCACGGUCCUUGGAGUAUUUAAAAGACAUGUGCCUUUUUGAUCUUUAAAUUGGUCUUGGAGAGUGGGAUUAAUAAUUCAAAUAUUGCCUCAGUGUGAUUGAUUCAGCACUACUUUUAGGGGUAGAUGUUGAAAACUCUAAUUCCACAACACUAUACAUCCAAUCACUCCAAUUUAAUUUCUGCUUCUUUUAGGCUGUUUAGUUCUUUUCUAAGUAAGCUAGAAACAGAAAAUGGGUGAGUCCCUUAAAUCCCUCACUCAAUAAAGUUGGUGCCAUCGGGGAUUGGAGUACAGAUGAUGUAGAUUACGACCCACUGAUACAUUGGCAGCUCAAGCAUGGUCACAUGACCGGAAGCCACAGGCAGCCUGGUGUACCUGGAAGUCCAUCCGUCCAGGAGAGAUGGGUAGCAAGGGCUGAGGAGACCUCUGGGGACAUCCAAGGCAGGAUGGCUGGAGAGCCAGUGUCAGGCCAGACAGUGCAGAGGCCGCACUGCUUACCUGGCUCGGUUCUUGGUGACUGUGAAGAGAUGCUCUGUUGACCUCUCCACUCUGUAGAAGAGCAUCCGCUGGAGCUCAGAAAAGGAUACCUCAGAGGAAGGGCCUCCUGAUUUCACCCUCGUUCUUCUCUGAGACAAGGACCAAAAGGACCAGAAUUUCUUCUCCUCAAGUGAGCCACAGGAACAAGAACCUCCAUCCCUAAAGCCAAGGGCUAAAAUUUACCCAUUACUGUUUCCUGCUUAUCCGUAAGCGUUGGCCAUAAAGAAAUUUUUGGCUGACGUUGUCUGAAUGUAGGUCCCACAUUACAGAAAGGAUCUUGUCCCACGAUGUGGGUGGAAAAGAAGCAGCUGAUUCCCCCAAUUCAGAACUACUUUUACACCCUGUGAGGAACCCAGAAAUGGUUAAAGAACACAUUCCAGUUGGUGGUGUUGAUAGAGUCGACGUGUCCAUCGGGACAGACCACGAGCGGGUGAGCAGAUGCUGGGUCACACUGGCUGUGGGCUGCAUGGAAUCUGCCGCUGGACCCCCUCAGCUGAAUCCACUGAGGAGCCUAGACUGCCAGAGGAUGAUCUUCCAAAAGGGGAAAAAUCUCCAGUAUCCUUCAAAGUGAAGACUGACCAGGUAUGAAGGGCGUUCCCCAAGGGAACCAUACUUAUAACUUGGUGAAGAAUGAACGGGUAUUGGUCAGGAAUAUUGGAAUGAAUUUGCAAAUGGAUACAAACUAGCCUUUCCACACACAACAAGGAAAGUCUUGUCUCAACCACAGAGAACCUAUUUGUGCAUCUGCGAUCAAGAAUUGUUUGCAAGACUGUUUGUUCUCCUGGGACAUCAGAAUAGCCAGGCCGGAUCACUGUGGGAGGAGCCAGCAUUCCACAGAAAGGGUGGUUAGUGCUUUCCUGCUGACUUCAAAGACUUAAUUUUUAUAGUCCUGACUCAAAUCAACAGCGAUGCAUUUUUCCACAAUGAGAGGCUCACACAGUAAUGCUUAAGUACAUACCCCACAGUCUCUCGGCCCCUAGGCCUGGAGCCUAGUCCUACAGCUUUGGGAGAGUGGCUCAAUCCGGAAUCAACAACCAGCAGCCCAAGAACUACAUCCAGCCCACUGCACUGCCUGCUUUUGAAAAGUUCUUCAGGAAGUUGUAGCUCAGUCAGUGGUAGAGCUCUCGGCUAACAUGCACAAACAUGCAGCGUUCAAUGUUCAGCACAGCAAGAGAGCAGACAAAAACCAUCCCAAACACCAAUACAGGUAGUGCCUUGGCUGCUGAUUCCCAUUUGCCAUCCUGACGUAGAGAACUGGACUGACUGCUGGUGCAUCCGUGAGUGUCUGUGAGAGAAUGGAGCUGCCACUGCCUGCUGACCUGUGAACAGAACUGCCAAUUUCCAGACAACACAGAAUGAGCUGCUCCCAAGAACCUUUCUAAACAGGCCAUAGCCCAUUUAUUGAGGGGAGGGGGUCGCAGUGAGAACUCAAGCCGCCGGUCUCAGGACAUUCAGUCAAGAGCAAGGAGGCAAGUGUAUUGGUGCUGCCAGUUUGCUUGCUCUCCGAUAGUUUGCUCCCUUUGUUCUUACGCAGGUCACUGUCCUGCUCCUGAGCAGGUGCUGCCCACGUCUGAGGUCAGAAAACAAAGCCCCAAAGAGUAGGGCUGUGGAGACAGCACAGUCAACAACACGUUCGGGUUGCAAUCUGAGAACCUGGGCUCAAUGCCUAGAUGAAAAAGCCAGACUCGGUGGCUCACGCUUGUAAUCCCAGUGCUGGGGAGACAGGGACACAUGGAUCCCUGAGGCGCACUGGCCAACUUGGCCUACUUGCUGCAGAGACGGGAAUUCUCAAAGAAAAGAAACAAUCCAAAAAGUCAUGUUUUCCUCUGGCAGCCCACAAGACAGGGACAAGACAGAUACACAAACAGAAAGACACAAGCACUCGGGGUUAAAGGAAGACAUAUUUAAAGGAUGACGGAAUGCAGAAGAUGCAACAGUAUCAACCGGGAGAGACCAGCUGUAUCUUCUGGGGCCAGGUGCUGGGCUCCCUUCCUGUUUCUCUAUCUCUUGAUUUUUCAAGCAGAACACAGUAAUUGACAGUAAUUUGCAUCCUUCCAAGUUUGGGCCUUUUAUCUGCGACUCUAUUGUGCUGUCUGUAAGGUAUGCACGAGGCCUGAGGAGGACUCCUAGCUGUCUCCUCUGUGAUUUGGCAUUGCUUGGGGCUUCAUUAAGAGCAUAACUAUGCUGACGCUGCUGCAGCGAGGACCACAAAUGGGCUAGGGAAAGCAGUUGUUAAAAUAUAAAAAUGCAAUAAAGAAGUCAUGGGUGUUUUUCCACUAAUCAAAUUAUAUGCCGACUUACAUCUUAAGCAGCGACUUAUUAAAGGGGGUUCAAUUACACCUCCUUUCACAGUGCAGACAGUUCUUUAGCCACAAUUAUUUGUUGCUGGAAAAUUACAUUCACGAGUAAUUACAUCCGCGCGUGUUUAAUUGCAGGCUGAAAAAUGAAGAGUGAGCAGUUAAUUAUUUCUCAGAUGUCUGAUGCUACUUGUCAUUAGUUGGUUUGGCGCAGAUGAUUACACCAACUGUGCUUCGCCGACAAAGGGCGGUGGCCCAGGUGACAUAGCCCAGUAGGUGUGGACAUCCAGGGUGAACCCUUUGUCACCUCUGCCAGAGUCCCUCCUCUCUAAAGUCAGCAAGCACAUACUGUGCCUACCUUUUACUCUGUACAUGGAAGGUUCUUUCUGUGCUUCUCUUUGCUUCUGUUGUUCUGAUCUCUUUAGGAAUCAUCUUGCUGUCCAUCCUAUGGGGUUGCAAACCCCU